ACGAACGCUGGCGGCGUGCUUAACACAUGCAAGUCGAACGGAAAGGCCCUGCUUUUGUGGGGUGCUCGAGUGGCGAACGGGUGAGUAACACGUGAGUAACCUGCCCUUGACUUUGGGAUAACUUCAGGAAACUGGGGCUAAUACCGGAUAGGAGCUCCUGCUGCAUGGUGGGGGUUGGAAAGUUUCGGCGGCUGGGGAUGGACUCGCGGCUUAUCAGCUUGUUGGUGGGGUAGUGGCUUACCAAGGCUUUGACGGGUAGCCGGCCUGAGAGGGUGACCGGCCACAUUGGGACUGAGAUACGGCCCAGACUCCUACGGGAGGCAGCAGUGGGGAAUAUUGCACAAUGGGCGGAAGCCUGAUGCAGCAACGCCGCGUACGGGAUGACGGCCUUCGGGUUGUAAACCGCUUUCGCCUGUGACGAAGCGUGAGUGACGGUAAUGGGUAAAGAAGCACCGGCUAACUACGUG
Molecule: ribosomal RNA, 467 nt
Filed under: uncultured bacterium
Lineage: Bacteria
Description: partial 16S ribosomal RNA
Rfam family: Bacterial small subunit ribosomal RNA
Source: RNAcentral